AGGGUUUGAUCAUGGCUCAGGAUGAACGCUGGCUGUGUGCCUAAUACAUGCAUGUCGAGCGGAAGUAGCAAUACUUUAGCGGCGAAUGGGUGAGUAACACGUGCUUAAUCUACCUUUUAGAUUGGAAUACCUAAUGGAAACAUUGGUUAAUGCCGGAUACGCAUGAAGUCGCAUGACUUCGUUGUGAAAGGAGCGUUUGCUCCGCUAAGAGAUGAGGGUGCGGAACAUUAGCUAGUUGGUGAGGUAAUGGCCCACCAAGGCUAUGAUGUUUAGCCGGGUCGAGAGACUGAACGGCCACAUUGGGACUGAGAUACGGCCCAAACUCCUACGGGAGGCAGCAGUAGGGAAUAUUCCACAAUGAGCGAAAGCUUGAUGGAGCGACACAGCGUGCACGAUGAAGGCCCUCGGGUUGUAAAGUGCUGUUGCAAGGGAAGAACAGUUAGUUGAGGAAAUGCUUCUAAUCUGACGGUACCUUGUUAGAAAGCGAUGGCUAACUAUGUGCCAGCAGCCGCGGUAAUACAUAGGUCGCAAGCGUUAUCCGGAAUUAUUGGGCGUAAAGCGUUCGUAGGCUGUUUAUUAAGUCUGGAGUCAAAUCCCAGGGCUCAACCCUGGCUCGCUUUGGAUACUGGUAAACUAGAGUUAGAUAGAGGUAAGCGGAAUUCCAUGUGGAGCGGUGAAAUGCGUAGAUAUAUGGAAGAACACCAAAGGCGAAGGCAGCUUACUGGGUCUAUACUGACGCUGAGGGACGAAAGCGUGGGGAGCAAACAGGAUUAGAUACCCUGGUAGUCCACGCUGUAAACGAUGAUCAUUAGUCGGUGGAAAACUACUGACGCGGCUAACGCAUUAAAUGAUCCGCCUGAGUAGUAUGCUCGCAAGAGUGAAACUUAAAGGAAUUGACGGGGACCCGCACAAGCGGUGGAGCAUGUGGUUUAAUUUGAAGAUACGCGGAGAACCUUACCCACUCUUGACAUCCCCUGCAAAGCUAUAGAGAUAUAGUAGAGGUUAACAGGGUGACAGAUGGUGCAUGGUUGUCGUCAGCUCGUGUCGUGAGAUGUUUGGUCAAGUCCUGCAACGAGCGCAACCCCUAUCUUUAGUUACUAACGAGUCAUGUCGAGGACUCUAGAGAUACUGCCUGGGUAACCGGGAGGAAGGUGGGGAUGACGUCAAAUCAUCAUGCCUCUUACGAGUGGGGCUACACACGUGCUACAAUGGUCGGUACAAAGAGAAGCAAUAUGGCGACAUGGAGCAAAUCUCAAAAAGCCGAUCUCAGUUCGGAUUGAAGUCUGCAAUUCGACUUCAUGAAGUCGGAAUCGCUAGUAAUCGCAGAUCAGCUACGCUGCGGUGAAUACGUUCUCGGGCCUUGUACACUCCGCCC
RNAcentral lists this ribosomal RNA (1375 nucleotides) under Metamycoplasma orale. RNAcentral describes it as "Mycoplasma orale 16S ribosomal RNA". It matches the Rfam family "Bacterial small subunit ribosomal RNA". Lineage: Bacteria; Bacillati; Mycoplasmatota; Mycoplasmoidales; Metamycoplasmataceae. The record is from RNAcentral.